This 72-nucleotide transfer RNA is filed under the name Sawbwa resplendens. RNAcentral's name for it is "tRNA-Leu". It matches the Rfam family "tRNA". Rfam says of the family: Transfer RNA (tRNA) molecules are approximately 80 nucleotides in length. Their secondary structure includes four short double-helical elements and three loops (D, anti-codon, and T loops). Further hydrogen bonds mediate the characteristic L-shaped molecular structure. tRNAs have two regions of fundamental functional importance: the anti-codon, which is responsible for specific mRNA codon recognition, and the 3' end, to which the tRNAs corresponding amino acid is attached (by aminoacyl-tRNA synthetases). tRNAs cope with the degeneracy of the genetic code in two manners: having more than one tRNA (with a specific anti-codon) for a particular amino acid; and 'wobble' base-pairing, i.e. permitting non-standard base-pairing at the 3rd anti-codon position. Lineage: Eukaryota; Metazoa; Chordata; Actinopteri; Cypriniformes; Cyprinidae. The record is from RNAcentral.
GCUUUUAAAGGAUAACAGCUCAUCCGUUGGUCUUAGGAACCAAAAACUCUUGGUGCAAAUCCAAGUGAAAGC